This 115-nucleotide ribosomal RNA is filed under the name Budvicia aquatica. Lineage: Bacteria; Pseudomonadati; Pseudomonadota; Gammaproteobacteria; Enterobacterales; Budviciaceae. The record is from RNAcentral.
UGGCGGCACUAGCGCGGUGGUCCCACCUGACCCCAUGCCGAACUCAGAAGUGAAACGCCGUAGCGCCGAUGGUAGUGUGGGGUCUCCCCAUGCGAGAGUAGGGAACUGCCAGACU